Long non-coding RNA from Salvelinus sp. IW2-2015, 315 nucleotides. RefSeq lists it as uncharacterized. The transcript has 3 exons. Lineage: Eukaryota; Metazoa; Chordata; Actinopteri; Salmoniformes; Salmonidae. The record is from RefSeq and is a predicted model, not a curated record.
UAUGUGUUCUGCAACAAGACCAGAGAAGCGCACCGCCACUCUAGUCAGAAUAAACUUUCCACACAACACCAAACCUGCAAACACGAAGACGUCAUGACAACACAUCAAAGCAGAGCUUCAGAGGGCAACAUGAAUCAUGGAGAAAGAGUCCGAUCCCAUCAACAUCUGCAGCACCAGGAACUAGUACUCCUCCUGCUUCUGAUGAUGAUGAACUUGACACCAGCUUCAGUAGUACAGAGCCUGUAGACCCAUUGGAUGAAAGCUUUCAGCCUGGAAUAAGCUCAACAUCAUCUGACUUUGAAACAAGCCACGACA